GUGAGGAAUAUUGGUCAAUGGGCGAGAGCCUGAACCAGCCAAGUAGCGUGCAGGAUGACGGCCCUACGGGUUGUAAACUGCUUUUAUGCGGGGAUAAAGUGAGGGACUUGUCCCUUUUUGCAGGUACCGCAUGAAUAAGGACCGGCUAAUUCCGUGCCAGCAGCCGCGGUAAUACGGAAGGUCCUGGCGUUAUCCGGAUUUAUUGGGUUUAAAGGGAGCGCAGGCCGGUGUGUAAGCGUGACGUCAAAUACAGCCGCUCAACGGUUGUCCGCGUCGCGAACUGCAUGCCUUGAGUACGCUGCAAGUGGGCGGAAUUCGUGGUGUAGCGGUGAAAUGCUUAGAUAUCACGAAGAACUCCGAUUGCGAAGGCAGCCCGCUGUUGCGUCACUGACGCUGAGGCUCGAAGGUGCGGGUAUCGAACAGG
Molecule: ribosomal RNA, 424 nt
Filed under: uncultured rumen bacterium
Lineage: Bacteria
Description: bacterial SSU rRNA
Rfam family: Bacterial small subunit ribosomal RNA
Source: RNAcentral